This 365-nucleotide ribosomal RNA is filed under the name uncultured organism. RNAcentral describes it as "partial 16S ribosomal RNA". It matches the Rfam family "Bacterial small subunit ribosomal RNA", at positions 527 to 896 of the family's 1533-position model. The record is from RNAcentral.
GUAGGGUACAAGCGUUACCCGGAUUUAUUGGGCGUAAAGAGUUCGUAGGCGAUCUGGGUAAGUUAUUCUUUAAAUACCGAGGCUCAACCUCGGGACAGGGAGUAAUACUGCUAGAAUUGAGACACUUAGGGGCUACUGGAACUGUUGGUGUAGGGGUGAAAUCCGUUGAUAUUAAUAGGAACUCCGAGGGCGAAGGCAGGUAGCUGGGAGUGUUCUGACGCUGAGGAACGAAAGCUAGGGGAGCGAAAGGGAUUAGAGACCCCUGUAGUCCUAGCCGUAAACGAUGCUCGCUAGCCUCUUGAGCAAUUGGGAGGCGUAAGCUAACGCGUGAAGCGAGCCGCCUGGGGAGUACGAGCGCAAGCUUA